GUCUACGGCCACACCACCCUGAACAUGCCCGAUCUUGUCUGAUCUUGGAAGUUAAGCAGGAUUGGGCCUGGUCAGUACUUGGAUGGGAGACUGCCUAGGAAUAUCGGGUGCUGUAGGCU
This 119-nucleotide ribosomal RNA is filed under the name Tupaia belangeri chinensis (Chinese tree shrew). The record is from RNAcentral. Lineage: Eukaryota; Metazoa; Chordata; Mammalia; Scandentia; Tupaiidae.